Molecule: ribosomal RNA, 884 nt
Filed under: uncultured fungus
Lineage: Eukaryota; Fungi
Description: eukaryotic LSU rRNA
Rfam family: 5.8S ribosomal RNA (bases 433-586)
Source: RNAcentral
UUCUUGGUCAUUUAGAGGAAGUAAAAGUCGUAACAAGGUUUCCGUAGGUGAACCUGCGGAAGGAUCAUUAAAGAAAUUUAAUAAUUUUGAAAAUGGAUUUUUUUGUUUUGGCAAGAGCAUGAGAGCUUUUACUGGGCAAGAAGACAAGAGAUGGAGAGUCCAGCCGGGCCUGCGCUUAAGUGCGCGGUCUUGCUAGGCUUGUAAGUUUCUUUCUUGCUAUUCCAAACGGUGAGAGAUUUCUGUGCUUUUGUUAUAGGACAAUUAAAACCGUUUCAAUACAACACACUGUGGAGUUUUCAUAUCUUUGCAACUUUUUCUUUGGGCAUUCGAGCAAUCGGGGCCCAGAGGUAACAAACACAAACAAUUUUAUCUAUUCAUUAAAUUUUUGUCAAAAACAAGAAUUUUCGUAACUGGAAAUUUUAAAAUAUUAAAAACUUUCAACAACGGAUCUCUUGGUUCUCGCAUCGAUGAAGAACGCAGCGAAAUGCGAUACGUAAUGUGAAUUGCAGAAUUCCGUGAAUCAUCGAAUCUUUGAACGCACAUUGCGCCCCUUGGUAUUCCAGGGGGCAUGCCUGUUUGAGCGUCAUUUCCUUCUCAAACAUUCUGUUUGGUAGUGAGUGAUACUCUUUGGAGUUAACUUGAAAUUGCUGGCCUUUUCAUUGGAUGUUUUUUUUCCAAAGAGAGGUUUCUCUGCGUGCUUGAGGUAUAAUGCAAGUACGGUCGUUUUAGGUUUUACCAACUGCGGCUAAUCUUUUUUUAUACUGAGCGUAUUGGAACGUUAUCGAUAAGAAGAGAGCGUCUAGGCGAACAAUGUUCUUAAAGUUUGACCUCAAAUCAAGGUAGGAGUACCCGCUGAACUUAAGCAUAUCAAUAAGCCGGAGGAA